This 156-nucleotide ribosomal RNA is filed under the name uncultured bacterium. Its description in RNAcentral is "partial 16S ribosomal RNA". It matches the Rfam family "Bacterial small subunit ribosomal RNA", at positions 355 to 508 of the family's 1533-position model. The record is from RNAcentral.
UAAGGAAUAUUGGUCAUGGAGGCAACUCUGAAACCAGCCAUGCCGCGUGCAGGAUGAAGGCCCUAUGGGUCGUAAACUGCUUUUAUACCAGAGAAAACCCGAGUACGUGUACUCGGUUGAUAGUAUGGUAAGAAUAAGCAUCGGCUAACUUCGUGC